Long non-coding RNA from Pangasianodon hypophthalmus (striped catfish), 2946 nucleotides. RefSeq lists it as uncharacterized. The record is from RefSeq and is a predicted model, not a curated record. Lineage: Eukaryota; Metazoa; Chordata; Actinopteri; Siluriformes; Pangasiidae. The transcript is spliced from 4 exons.
UUGCUUUUUCUUUUUUUAGAGGAUUUAAAUGCGACUGUUUUGCGGAAUGGACAGCGGAGUCUGACGGAAAAGGAUUGCAUCUCUCUUCAGAUCAAGUCCUCAGACUGAGUUCCUCCAUUUCCUCGCUGCUUCUCAAGACCAAACCAUUUCACUGCUGAAUGUUAAAGAAUCUUGUAUUAAAAGCCACGAGCCAAUCUUGGAUGCAACUAUCAGCUUUGUCAACGCCAUUAACGCUUGUACUGGUGAAGGUGAAAGAGGACAGUUCCCUUAUCACUGCUGAGCGCACCGCCCUGUCUCCUCCUGCUCCUGGUUCUCCAUCGUUCCCUCGUUCUUCUGCUCUAUCUCCACCUACAGCAGAACACAACAAGUGAGGGAAAUGGAGAUGUAACGACAGACAGCACCCACCAGAGGGCAGUCACAUCCUGCAAAAUGGUAGAGCUGUGUGAACGCUGUACACACUCGACCAGGAUAUGGAUUUGACGUCACUGCAUCCAGAAGCUCAUCCCUCACUGACCCCCUGCUAUCAGAGGACCACCUCCUGCUAGGACACGGCUCGUGUGAUAACACAAAGACCGAGACACUACAGACCCUUUUAUCCCCGACCAAGGCCUUAGAGCAGUGUAAGUGAGUGAGUCUUCCUCAACCGCCACGCAGUUUCUAAAGCCCUCCUGUGAAGACGAGCCGGAAUGGGAGCAGAUGUUUGUGGGCGAGGACUCUAGCCACCUUAAUGACAUGUUUGGAUUGCAGCAGGGAAAACAGCUCUGGCAGCUGAGACAGCAGGGCGCUGGAGGGUGACUGGCCGUCUUUCAGUGACUGUCAAAUGGCUGAUGAUCUUUAGCAGGAAGUGGUUCUUUCCCAAAAGGCACACACAUCACUCAAACGCAGCCAAAUGUGCACCAACUGCAGCACAAACUACACACUGGGUUUGCGUAGAUUCAUCAGUACUUUAGUUGGGUUUAGUUUAGCUCGUUUGUGUAUAUACACACACACACACACGCACACACUUGUUUACUCUGUUUCCACUGGUGUUUAAACAGCAGCUUUAAUAAAGAGCAUGAGUGCAGCCAACCUGAGUGUGCAGAGCAGUAUCAGCAUGUAGUCAUUAAAAACAAGAUCAAGGUGCUGUGAUUGAUUUACACACUCAAAGGUAUUCACGAGGGUGCAGAGAAAGUGUCACGAGCAAGCGCACUUCAUUUCUGCGAGCACCGAGACCUGCACGUCCAAGUUCAUUUUUAAGACUUAGUUUUCUCCCCCCACACAAUCAAACAUUCCCCUUUCUUCUGAAAACACAGACCUUGCUGUAAUUCAAAGAAAAUUUUCCAAAAUGGAGGCGAAGAAAGGGAGAGAUCACAAAUUUAAUUUUAAUGUUAGCUUCAGCUACGCACACGGCCUAAUGUAUGUAGCCUAACAUUAUACAAAUAAACAUGAUAGCCUACAGAUAUACACUCACCAUCUACUUUAAUAGGAACACCUGUACACCUGCUCACUUAUGCAGUUAUCCAAACAUUCAAUCAUGUGGCAGCAGCACAAUGCAUAAAAUCAUUCAGAUAAAGGCCAAGGUCUCCAGGUAAUGUGCACAUCAAACAUCAGAAUGGGGAAAAAGUGACACUUUUCCCCAUUCUGAUGGUUGACGUGAAUAUUAACUGAAACUCUUGGCCUUUUACACCUGAAUGAUUUUAUGCAUUGUGCUGCUGCCACAUGAUUGAAUAACUGCAUAAAUGAGCAGGUGUACAGGUAUUCCUAUUAAAGUGGACAGUGAGUGUAUUUGCCCCUGUACAUAACUUCUCAGCCUACAUUGUUGAAGACAGAAAGUCAAUUAGCCAUAUUAUUAUUAAAAUGAGAAGGGGAAAAGAAGAGCUAUACUUGGAACUCUAUCAUUGUUGUGUGGUUUAGGACAUUUGCUAAUAGCUUUCAAAUGCUUUGUGAUGGUUUCCAGUGAAAAUGUAUAUAAAAUGGUGGCUCAAUUCAACCACAAAACCAUCACAAGCCAUUAGAAAUGUUACUACUGCCAUUAAUAAAUUUUCUUUAAGGGUUCAAAUUUAGUUAAAUUAUUUACAUUUGCAUAAGAGAUUCAAUAUUUCUAAAAUAAUUUGGUGUUUAACUGACGAAUACAGUACUGUGCAGAAGUCUUAGGCACACGCAAAGAAGCUUUGAAAAAUAAUGAAAUUAUAGGAUUUUUUUUUUUAAUGUUUCUACAUUUAAAGAGCAGUAAACAGUAAUAAAUGAAAAAGUCAAUAUUUGGUGUGACGAGCGUAGUAUGCGCAGUUUUAUAAGGAAAUGAGCUGGAAGUGUUACUGAGCAUCUUGCAGAAGCAGCCACAGUUCUUCUGGAGACUUUGACUGUCGACUCGCUUCUUAUUUUUUCGUCUAAAAAAAUCUCUCUUAUGGAAGCUCCUGCUUUCUUUACUGACAUACAAACAUUUUUCUGUAGCAUUUAAUUUUGUGCUGGAAAACUAAUGUUUGGAAUCUAAAAUGUUUUGUUUUAAAAAUCUAUAACAGUUUGUACUAAAAAAAGAAAUAGGGUGCCAAAGACUUUUGCACAGUACUGUACUUUAAACUUACAUUAAUUUGUACAUUCCCACCAUUUUGGGAAAUUUUCAUUGAAGAAAGAGGUCUCCAUUUCCAGAAAAAAAAAGGGAGUCUAUGCCUGAACAUGCAUCGAAUCCCAGCCCCCUAAAAUCAAUUUGACUUGCAAGCAAAGUAUAAACAGUAGGGGAAGGAAAUGCGUGUCUCAGUGCUCGCAGAACUGAAGUGCUCUGACUAGCAACAGUUUCUCUCUCUGCAGGUUCGCGAAUACCUUUGUAUGUGCGCAAUUCAUGCUACCUUGUCCUUGUUUUUAAUGACCACACUUGCUGAUACUGCUUUACACACUCAGGUCAGCCGUUCUCUAUAAAAGAUACUGUUUAAACACCAUGGUAACCCCACACACACAAAUCGAGUACCUCGU